RNAcentral lists this ribosomal RNA (253 nucleotides) under uncultured bacterium. RNAcentral's name for it is "partial 16S ribosomal RNA". It matches the Rfam family "Bacterial small subunit ribosomal RNA", at positions 524 to 776 of the family's 1533-position model. The record is from RNAcentral.
UACGUAGGGGGCAAGCGUUACUCGGAUUCACUGGGCGUAAAGCGCGUGUAGGCGGCUGGUCAAGCGUGGUGUGAAAUCCCCGGGCUCAACCUGGGAACUGCAUUUGUGACUGCAAGGCUAGAGUACGGUAGAGGGGGAUGGAAUUCCGCGUGUAGCAGUGAAAUGCGUAGAUAUGCGGAGGAACACCGAUGGCGAAGGCAAUCCCCUGGACCUGUACUGACGCUCAUGCACGAAAGCGUGGGGAGCAAACAGG